This 465-nucleotide ribosomal RNA is filed under the name uncultured bacterium. Its description in RNAcentral is "bacterial SSU rRNA". It matches the Rfam family "Bacterial small subunit ribosomal RNA", at positions 34 to 507 of the family's 1533-position model. The record is from RNAcentral.
CGCUGGCGGCGUGCUUAACACAUGCAAGUCGAGCGAGGUCCAACCGGUGGCAACACCGGGGAAGACCUAGCGGCGAACGGGUGAGUAACACGUGAGAAACCUGCCCCGAAGUUCGGGAUAACCCGGGGAAACCCGAGCUAAUACCGGAUACCCACGAUUGGUCGCAUGGCCGAUCGUGGAAAGAACUUCGCUUCGGGAGGGUCUCGCGGCCUAUCAGCUUGUUGGUGGGGUUAAACGGGCCCACCAAGGCAUCGACGGGUAGCUGGUCUGAGAGGACGAUCAGCCACACUGGGACUGAGACACGGCCCAGACUCCUACGGGAGGCAGCAGUGGGGAAUCUUGCGCAAUGGGCGAAAGCCUGACGCAGCAACGCCGCGUGCGGGAUGAAGGCCUUCGGGUUGUAAACCGCUUUCAGUAGGGACGAAAUUGACGGUACCUACAGAAGAAGCCCCGGCCAACUACGUG